ACACGAUAGAUACAGCAACAAUGCAGGCUUCUCCACACUGUCCCACCAAUGUGCCUUUACCCUGUACAGGAGGGACUAUCUCUUUG
RNAcentral lists this small RNA (86 nucleotides) under Chelonoidis abingdonii (Abingdon island giant tortoise). RNAcentral's name for it is "TUC338 (ENSCABG00000019773.1)". The record is from RNAcentral. Lineage: Eukaryota; Metazoa; Chordata; Testudines; Testudinidae.